RNAcentral lists this ribosomal RNA (433 nucleotides) under uncultured bacterium. RNAcentral describes it as "partial 16S ribosomal RNA". It matches the Rfam family "Bacterial small subunit ribosomal RNA", at positions 29 to 507 of the family's 1533-position model. The record is from RNAcentral.
AACGAACGCUGGCGGCAUGCCUAACACAUGCAAGUCGAACGAAAAGACCGGGUCUUGUGGCGCCUGGGUUCGUAACCGGUGGGAACCUGCACUUAGGUUCGGCCUAACUCUCCGAAAGGGGUGCUAACACCGGAUAAUAUCUUCGGACCGAAGAUAUAUUGACUUUGGUUGGGCCCGCGUUGGAUUAGCUAGUUGGGAGGGUAAAAGCUGACCACGGCGACGAUUCGUAACUGGUCAGAGAGGAUGAUCAGCAACACUGGGACGGGGACACGGCCCAGACUCCUACGGGAGGGGGCAGAGGGGGAUAUAGGACAGUGGGCGGAAGGCUGAUCCAGCAAGGCCGCGUGAGUGAUGAAGGCCUUAGGGUUGUAAAGCGCUUUUAACCGGGAUGAUAAUGACGGUACCGGGAGAAUAAGCUCCGGCUAACUCCGUG